UACGGAGGAUCCAAGCGUUAUCCGGAUUUAUUGGGUUUAAAGGGUGCGUAGGCGGCAGAUUAAGUUAGAGGUGAAAUUCCGAGGCUCAACCUUGGCACUGCCUCUGAUACUGGUUUGCUAGCGAGUAGAUGCUGUAGGCGGAAUGUGUGGUGUAGCGGUGAAAUGCAUAGAGAUAUGGAGGAACACCAGUGGCGAAGGCGGCUUCCUGGUCUGCAACUGACACUGAGGCGCGAAAGCGUGGGGAGCAAACAGG
RNAcentral lists this ribosomal RNA (253 nucleotides) under uncultured Rikenellaceae bacterium. RNAcentral's name for it is "partial 16S ribosomal RNA". It matches the Rfam family "Bacterial small subunit ribosomal RNA", at positions 524 to 776 of the family's 1533-position model. The record is from RNAcentral. Lineage: Bacteria; Pseudomonadati; Bacteroidota; Bacteroidia; Bacteroidales; Rikenellaceae.